GCCAAGUCUCCCCAUCCCUCCUCUUCCUGGAGUGGACCACCUCUGUGGUUGGAACCGCUGGCAAUCCAUCAAAAAGGGAGGGUGGUUGACUUGGAGCUGAGACUGUAAGUGCUUAUAAGAAAUGAAAGACAUGGUUUGGGGUGAAAAAGUCAUGCUUCCGGGUACAAAGGCAAAGCCACUAAUAACCCAAGGAUUCGGUGUUCCAUCUGACCUGCUCUGAUACGGUCCCCAUAGUGACAGUCUCCAUAAACAGCCUCAACAUAACCAAACGAAACGAAACAAAACAAAACAGAAAAAAGGAAGGAGAAACUUCCACCCCGGCGAUCUGGAGGCAUUUUAGGGAUCAAGGCAAUGUCAUAUGGGGUGAAUCCUGAACGCAGAAUCUGUUCCUUUAAUAACCGAUCCUCCCUUCCUUUUGUGAGACUGAACAAAGGCUCAGCAGAUCACAGAACGGAGCCCCGGCCCAGUGUCUUCAGGGUUCAGAAAGUGCAGCCAAGAGAACGGAAAUAAAUGGGUACGAACAGACGUUCAGAUCGUUCUCCGCCUGGGACACUCAGCUGAGCCUUCUGUGGAGUCCAAGGGAGGAACAUGGCUCAUGUUCUCUGGAAAAGAGGCUGGGUCUCGGGCUCCAGGGAACUGGACUUGGUUCCCCGUCCCUGACCUUGAUUCCUGAGCCAAAGGCAGUGAUGGAGGGAAGCAUCUUCAAGCCACACCAAGUCCCUGGGGCAUCUGCAUCUGCUGCAGAUUCCUUUGCCGCUCCCAGCCUCGCGCUACUCUCUUUGAAUCCCUGACUCAGCGAGCUCCAGUCCAAAGAGCAGAGCUAGCUGUGUUAUUUCUUCUUCUUCUUCUCCUUUUUUUUAAUGCCAAGAAAAAAACUUCAGACAGCAUGCUUUGCAGACUUCUUCGCUGACCCUGAAUUCUUCACUGACCCUGAAUCACUUCCUCUUCCAGCUUUAACCCCUUGCUCCCCUGUCUUUCGGACCGCUAAACUAAAGAGCCGAACACAAAGACAGCCGGUGUUCUGUGUCAGCCAAUAGGAACGGAAUCCAAAGUCUCCUGCCUGUCCGCAAACGGACAUUUCUCCAGCGGGUCUGGAGCAUUUAUUCAACAGCUGCCUCAUCUGGCUUCCUAAGGAUAAAAGCAGCUUCUUAGAGAAUUCUUCUUCCAUGGGAUUCUAUGUUGGCCCUGGCACGGCCCCCAGCAAGUGUUAGAGUCUGUUCAAGUAUAACAAAAUGUCAUGAACUGAUGCCAGCCACGGUGGUGCAUACCUGUAAUCCCAGCAGACCAAAGCAAUCCAUGUGAAAUGUUUUCCGAGUGUUCUCUGAAGACAGCCUCCACGUCCAUCUCUCUCUACAACCACUUGCUCCCCUCUGUGCCUAACCUUAAAGGCUCGAGGGGCUGCGGAUAUGGCUCAGUGGCUAACUGAGCACACUGCUCCUGCAGAGGACCUGUGUCAGAUUCCUAGCACCCACGCCAGCCAGCUCACAGCGCCUGCAAACCCGGCUCGAGAUCCACCAGCGCUAGUUUCUGCAGGCCCCAGUACUUGUAAUCGGGAGCCUACGUGUGUGUGUGUGCACGUACCACACGCACGCCAGGUGCCUAGAGAGGUAAACGAAGGCAUCGGAGCCACAACGAGUCACAACCCGACAUGGUUGCUGGAAGCCAAACACAGGUUUUCUGCAAGAACAAACCGCUGCUCUAACUACUGAGCUAUCCCUCCAGCCCCAAGUAAAUAGAAUGUUUAAAAAAAAAAUCUAAAGAGAGUGGCUGGCAAGAUCCAUCAUGCGGUCAUUUAAGAGCGUGUAUCACUCUUUCUGAGGACCUGAGUUUGGUUCCCAGCAGCCAUAUAGGGGGCUCGCAACUGCCUAUAACACCAGCUAAAUGGGAACCCAAUGCCUCUGAUCUCUAUAGACACCUGUACUUGUGUAUAUGCGCGCGCACGUGUGCACACACACACACACGCGCACAUGCACACAAAGAAACACAUACAUACAUGUACUUAAAAUAUUUUUAAAAACUGGCUGGUAGUAGCCCAUGCCUUUAAUUCCAUGAAACCGGGAUCCCGUCUGUAACCACAGGCCUAUGGGUUUCAACGCACUGACUCUCAGACCAAGGUAACUACUUUUCUUUUUCUUUUUCUUUUUUUUUUUUUUUUCUUCUUUUUUUCGGAGCUGGGGACCGAACCUAGGGCCUUGUGCUUGCUAGGCAAGCGCUGUACCACUGAGCUAAAUCCCCAACCCCUCUUUUUUUUUUUAAGAUUUGGUUUUAUUUCAUGUGUGUAAGUGUUUGCCUGCCUGUGUAUGAGCGCUUAUAUGCUAGCCUGAUGUCCUCAGAGGUCAGGAGAGGGCAUGAAAUCCACUGGGACUAGAUUUGCAGACAGUUGUGAGUCCUGGGGAUUGAACCUGAAUCCUCCUCAACAGAAGCCAGGGCUCUGACCACUGAGCCAUCUCUCUGGGCCCCCGCGGCUGACUCCUCUAAGACAGGCUAUGUGCAGGGACUCAGAUAAGAGGGCCUCUAGGGGGGCUGGGGAUUUAGCUCAGUGGUAGAGCCCUUACCUAGGAAGCGCAAGGCCCUGGGUUCGGUCCCCAGCUCUGAAAAAAAAGAACCAAAAAAAAAAAAAAAAAAAAAAGAGGGCCUCUAGGUGUCCGAAUGAGAGGGGGCGGCCGGAAUGGUUGCUUGUGGCUGCCAGGAUGCAGAAUCACGCUCACGCGCUCACAUGCACGUGAAGUUUCUCCAUCACCAAGGUUUCUGUGCGACAAGCCUUACCUGACCUCAUCUCAGGACCGCAGCGGGGACCAGACCGGCUCUGAGAGGCAGCUAGCUGACAGCACCUGGCUCCCACACCUCAUCAAGCUCACCAGCCAUUCCAGAACACCUCCGCAGCAGCCUCCAGAGAGAUCCUGAUGGGUUCCUCAUCUGACUGGGGGAGAUCCACGCUCAUAAAAGCUUCCAGACCUCUGAAGCAAUUUACCCAUUCCCACCUCCUCCCCUGUCCCUGGGGACCCUUCCUCUCUUGGCUGUGGAGGACAGAACGCACUCCAUGCUCAGUGAGUACAAAAGAAGGAGCCCAGAAUGGCAGCUCUUGGAGGGUGGGCCAAAAAAACCACGAGGGAUAAGUCCCCUCUGUGAAGCCUGAGAGUCCUCGAGGAAAUAAAAGAUCUACACCAUUAAGAUGCUGAUAAUAUCUGGGAGGUUGAGGGGAAGCCUGUCUACACAGUGAGUUCCAGGACAGCCAGGGACAGAUAUAUAGAGACCCUGUCUCAAAAAAAAAAAAAAAAAAAAACCAAAACAAACAAAAAAAACCCAAUAACAGGAGCUGGAGGGAUGGCUCAAUGAUUAUAGCACUGGCUGUUCUUCAGAGGAUUCAAGUUCAACUCCCAGCAUCUACACAGUGCCUCCCAACAGAUUAUAAUUCCAGCUCUAAGGUAUCUGAUGCCGUCUUCUGGUCUCUGUGGACACCAGGCAUGCAUUGGGUGCACAGCCAGAGAGCAAAACAAACAAAAGCAAAACACACACACUUACAAAAUAAACUUUUAAAAAUAUUUUAAAAAGGGGCUGGGGAUUUAGCUCAGUGGUAGAGCGCUUACCUAGGAAGCGCAAGGCCCUGGGUUCGGUCCCCAGCUCCGAAAAAAAAAAAAAUAUUUUAAAAAGAAGUCAGAAGGCUGGAGAGAUGGCUCAGCGGUUAAGAGCACCGACUGCUCUUUCAGAGGUCCUGAGUUCAAUUCCCAGCAACCACAUGGUGGCUCACAACCAUCUGUAAUGGGAUCUGAUGCCCUCUUCUGGUGUGUCUGAAGACAGCGACUGUGUACACACAUAAAAUAAUCUUUUUUUAAAAAGUACACUAGAAGGAGGUUUUUAGUUUGUUUUUCAACACAAGAUUUCUUUGUGUAACAGCGUCGGCUGCUCCGGAAGUCACUCUGUAGACCAAGCAGAGCCUUGUACUCACAGAGAUCCACCUGCUUCUGCCUCCCAAUGCUGGGAUUAAGGCGUGUGCCACUGGCUUCUCAGCAGGGCAGUUGUAGCAGCCGUAGUGUGGCACACCCAGCAGCGCACACCUUUAAUCCCAGCACUCAGGUAGUAGAUGCGGGUGGAUCUCCGAGUUUGAGGCCAGCCUGGACUACAAAAUGAGUUCCAGGACAACCAGGGCCACAUAGAAAAA
This is a non-coding RNA of Rattus norvegicus (Norway rat), 4159 nucleotides long. Lineage: Eukaryota; Metazoa; Chordata; Mammalia; Rodentia; Muridae. The record is from RefSeq and is a predicted model, not a curated record.